This 379-nucleotide ribosomal RNA is filed under the name uncultured cyanobacterium. Its description in RNAcentral is "bacterial SSU rRNA". It matches the Rfam family "Bacterial small subunit ribosomal RNA", at positions 376 to 770 of the family's 1533-position model. Lineage: Bacteria; Bacillati; Cyanobacteriota. The record is from RNAcentral.
CGCAAGCCUGACGGAGCAACGCCGCGUGUGGGAAGAAGGCUCUUGGGCUGUCAACCACUUUUCUCAGGGAAGAAGCCCUGACGGUACCUGAGGAAUCAGCCUCGGCUAACUCCGUGCCAGCAGCCGCGGUAAUACGGAGGAGGCAAGCGUUAUCCGGAAUUAUUGGGCGUAAAGCGUCCGCUGGGGGCACAUCAAGUCUGCUGUUAAAGGCUGGAGCUUAACUCCGGUAGAGCAGUGGAAACUGGUGUGCUAGAGGGCGACAGGGGUAGAGGGAAUUCCCAGUGUAGCGGUGAAAUGCGUAGAGAUUGGGAAGAACACCGGUGGCGAAAGCGCUCUACUGGGUCGCACCUGACCCUCAGGGACGAAAGCUAAGGUAGCG